GACGAACGCUGGCGGCGUGCUUAACACAUGCAAGUCGAACGGAAAGGCCCUGCUUUUGUGGGGUGCUCGAGUGGCGAACGGGUGAGUAACACGUGAGUAACCUGCCCUUGACUUUGGGAUAACUUCAGGAAACUGGGGCUAAUACCGGAUAGGAGCUCCUGCUGCAUGGUGGGGGUUGGAAAGUUUCGGCGGUUGGGGAUGGACUCGCGGCUUAUCAGCUUGUUGGUGGGGUAGUGGCUUACCAAGGCUUUGACGGGUAGCCGGCCUGAGAGGGUGACCGGCCACAUUGGGACUGAGAGACGGCCCAGUAUCCUACGGGAGGCAGCGGUGGGGAAUAUUGCACAAUGGGCGGGAGCCUGAUGCAGCAACGCCGCGUGCGGGAUGACGGCCUUCGGGUUGUAAACCGCUUUCGCCUGUGACAAAGCGUGAGUGACGGUAAUGGGUAAAGAAGCACCGGCUAACUACGUG
Molecule: ribosomal RNA, 468 nt
Filed under: uncultured bacterium
Lineage: Bacteria
Description: partial 16S ribosomal RNA
Rfam family: Bacterial small subunit ribosomal RNA
Source: RNAcentral